GACGUAGGUGGCGAACGUUAUCCGGAAUUAUUGGACGUAAAGGGUGCGUAGGCGGCAUGAUAAGUUAUUGGCGGCAAAUCGAGGCUCAACCUCGUGGAAACUGAUAAUACUGUCUUGCUUGAGUGCAGAAGAGGUUAACGGAACUCCAUGUGGAGCGGUAAAAUGUGUAGAUAUAUGGAAGAACAUCAAUAACGGCGAAGGCAGUUAACUAUUCUGUUACUGACGUUGAGGCACGAAAGCGUGGGGAGCAAACAGG
RNAcentral lists this ribosomal RNA (256 nucleotides) under uncultured bacterium. Its description in RNAcentral is "partial 16S ribosomal RNA". It matches the Rfam family "Bacterial small subunit ribosomal RNA", at positions 524 to 776 of the family's 1533-position model. The record is from RNAcentral.